GUGACUAGUGACAGAGUGAGAGAGAGGGUGACUAGUGACAGAGUGAGAGAGAGGGUGACUAGUGACAGAGUGAGGGAGGGGGUGACUAGUGACAGAGUGGAGGUGGUGACUGUCACUAGUCACCCCCUCCCCUCCCUCACUCUGUCACUAGUCACCCCCUCCCUCUCUCUGUCACUAGUGACACCCUCCCUCACUCUGUCACUAGUCACACCCUUCCUGUCACUAGUCACCCCCUCUCUCACUA
This is a non-coding RNA of Pelobates cultripes (western spadefoot toad), 244 nucleotides long. NCBI's taxonomy places the organism in Eukaryota, Metazoa, Chordata, Amphibia, Anura, Pelobatidae. The record is from the annotation of a GenBank genome assembly.